AACGCACCCGAUGGGAGCGGGAGGGGCGACAUUGUCGCCCGCCUCCCGCCUCCUCGGGGCACCCUGGCUGCCCCCGCCUUGCCUUGCUGCGGGCGGGGGCAGCGAACAAAACCCGGGCGCGGUGGGCGCCAAGGAACAGUGCUUCUGGAGAGCAGCGUGCGCCUGACCGCUGAGGCGGGAAAGGCGCACGACGCGAUCCUGCAAUAUCGUUAACUUUUACGACUCUCGGCAACGGAUAUCUUGGCUCUCGCAUCGAUGAAGAACGUAGCGAAAUGCGAUACUUGGUGUGAAUUGCAGAAUCCCGUGAACCAUCGAGUCUUUGAACGCAAGUUGCGCCCGAGGCUAUCCGGCCGAGGGCACGCCUGCCUGGGCGUCACGCCUAGCGUCGCUCCGCGCACCCUGUGGGCGUGGACGCGGAUAUUGGCCCCCCGUGCCUUGCGGUGCGGCGGGUCGAAGUGCGGGCCGCCGGCCGGGUCGGACGCGGCGAGUGGUGGACGGACACGCUCGACGCUGAACGCCGCGAACCUAGCCCCGGCCGUAGCGGCUCAUGCAAGGAACCCAUGCCGACCGGGCGCUCUCGUGAGCGCUCUCGGACCACGACCCCAGGUCAGGCGGGGCCACCCGCUGAGUUUAAGCAUAUCAAUAA
This 646-nucleotide ribosomal RNA is filed under the name Hastingsia alba. Its description in RNAcentral is "eukaryotic LSU rRNA". The stretch from base 221 to 376 matches the Rfam family "5.8S ribosomal RNA". The record is from RNAcentral. Lineage: Eukaryota; Viridiplantae; Streptophyta; Magnoliopsida; Asparagales; Asparagaceae.